GUAAUAUAUCGGAACGUGCCCAGUCGUGGGGGAUAACGUAGCGAAAGUUACGCUAAUACCGCAUACGAUCUAAGGAUGAAAGCGGGGGAUCGCAAGACCUCGCGCGAUUGGAGCGGCCGAUAUCAGAUUAGGUAGUUGGUGGGGUAAAGGCUCACCAAGCCAACGAUCUGUAGCUGGUCUGAGAGGACGACCAGCCACACUGGAACUGAGACACGGUCCAGACUCCUACGGGAGGCAGCAGUGGGGAAUUUUGGACAAUGGACGCAAGUCUGAUCCAGCCAUUCCGCGUGCAGGAUGAAGGCCCUCGGGUUGUAAACUGCCUUUGUACGGAACGAAAAGGUCUCUCUUAAUACGAGGGGCUCAUGACGGUACCGUAAGAAUAAGCACCGGCUAACUACGUGCCAGCAGCCGCGGUAAUACGUAGGGUGCAAGCGUUAAUCGGAAUUACUGGGCGUAAAGCGUGCGCAGGCGGUUAUGUAAGACAGAGGUGAAAUCCCCGGGCUCAACCUGGGAACUGCCUUUGUGACUGCAUAGCUAGAGUACGGUAGAGGGGGAUGGAAUUCCGCGUGUAGCAGUGAAAUGCGUAGAUAUGCGGAGGAACACCGAUGGCGAAGGCAAUCCCCUGGACCUGUACUGACGCUCAUGCA
Molecule: ribosomal RNA, 647 nt
Filed under: uncultured bacterium
Lineage: Bacteria
Description: bacterial SSU rRNA
Rfam family: Bacterial small subunit ribosomal RNA
Source: RNAcentral